CGCACCCACUUUACAAGAUAUGAAUCAACAAACGUUUUAACAUUAUCAUUAAUUCUGGAAACAAAGCACUAAUAAGUGAUACGAAAUAGCAUUGGGUAAGUGUGGUUGGAAGCUUUCCAAAACUUCGUGCGUAUAUUUUUGCGUUAAUUUUGAACAAAAAGUAUUAGUAAGGUGAGCUGUGUGUGGAUAGGUGUGCCGUAUAUACUUUAAAGGCAAGAACAGAUUAUAAAAGAUGGUUCGACUGGAAACAAGAUACGAUCCUAUUCACGGAUACGAUUACACUUACUGGCCCGAUUCAAGAUAUUUUAGAGAUUACCGAUUUUCUCCGCCAAUUUCCUGGGCCGAUGACUGGAGUCAUAGAUCACGAGUAUGGUUCCCGUACUACUGGUCAACCCGUAGGCUAUUUCAACAUUACAUGGACUACAAACCUUCAGCAAGGUCUCUUCGAUCUCAACGACUACGAAACGACUUGUAUUUCUAGACUAGAUUCCGAGAAAAUUGUAUCCGAAGAAACUAGAUGAAAUAUUAUUUAUUAUCAUAAAAACUGAAUCUCGAAGACUACAAACUAAGAAAAUAUUAUUUACAUGCAAUUUAUAUUUGUAUAUAUGUAUUUUUUGAACUUAUUUUAAACAAGUAAUUAAAGAACGAAAAGUUUAAUAAAAUAAAUUUUAUUUAUUCAAA
Molecule: long non-coding RNA, 681 nt
Organism: Diabrotica virgifera virgifera (western corn rootworm)
Lineage: Eukaryota; Metazoa; Arthropoda; Insecta; Coleoptera; Chrysomelidae
Exons: 3
Source: RefSeq, a predicted model, not a curated record